Molecule: long non-coding RNA, 3710 nt
Organism: Triticum aestivum (bread wheat)
Lineage: Eukaryota; Viridiplantae; Streptophyta; Magnoliopsida; Poales; Poaceae
Exons: 2
Source: RefSeq, a predicted model, not a curated record
AGGGCUCUGCUCAGCGUGGGGAUGAUCUAUGAGAUUCUUAGUUUGAAAUCUGAUGCGGAUCUCCUAAAAAGAACUGAUGCAAAUGUUUCUUGAACACAUAACCCUGGAGGUCGGAACCUUGGAGAUUUUCUGAAACUUUAGUCCGAAGCCUGCAAAUGGCUAGCCGGCUAGGCUAAUCAUCGCCCUGAGGAAGUCAAAACCUUGUAUGCGAAUGGGCACCCUGCAUGUUCUAAACCAUCCCUGUUACGAAAUAGUUUGGCCAAAUCACUCGGCGGCGAUAGUGCUGACUUACACUCAUAAGAGUGUUUUUCUUAUGUUCAGUUUUGUUAAAUGUUAUUUGUGCAACAUUGAAUGCGGUAUGCUGCUUCCACAAUAAAAUGUAUGCUCUGCUAUCCAUUCCAUGUCAAAUACUCCCUCUGUCCAGAAUUAUUUUAGUUCUGUGACAAGUAAUUCUGGAUGGAGGGAGUGGUAGUUUUGGAAAAUGCCAAUUGAAUUGGCAUGAACUAAGCAUUUCUGCAUCAGAAAGAGCAUUUGUCCUUGUUCUAACUAGCUGAUACCCGCGCGGCGUGCCUUCGUUAGUAGGACCUUGUGUUGUUUUCCGUAUAAUUUGUGAACUUUUACGUGUUUAUAUAUCUUUUGUUUGAUUCAGCCUUUUCUUUGUUUCUAUUGAUAUGUUGUUUACUUCCUUUUUAGGGGGGAUUUUGUUUACUAGUUGUAUGAAUUGUGGGAAAUAGUAUUGUAUCAAGUUUAUUGCUUUAUCCAAAUUACACUGUCCACAGAGAAGAGAAAAACAAAAUCACACCCACCUGAAUGAUACCUAUGCUCAGCAGUGAUUCGAGGCAGAGCAUCCAAAAGUCAAAGCGACAAAAAUGUGGACAUCAGCAAGGGGUAAAAUAAGACUUGCAGAUCCAGUAAAUAUUAAUUCCAAAUGUAUUGAUGUUCAGCCUAUCCAAGCAAAGUCAUGAUGCUCAUAUGCGUGUGUAGUGCACAAUACAUGUUUCAGAAUGGAAGGAUUUCCCUGUCUAGCCAGUGAACACCGAGGACUUAACCCAACAUUUACACUAUUGGUUAUGACAUCAAUGGCAGGCAAAAUCUCACUACAGCAACAGAAAGAAACUAGAUUUGGUGAGGUCUUAAUAGAAGUGGUUAUGCAUUUUAAACAGAGAGGAACUGUUAUUACGACAUGAAGGUCUAAAUCUGUAUAUCUGACAAGGAUAGUUAGGAUUUUUUUUAUGGCAAGCACAACCACAAUAGCAAGCUCCUUAUCCUGCAAUCUCAUAAUAUUUGCUGUGACACAAAAAAGGUUCAAAGUUGCAAUAGAAGGCCAAAAGGAAACAUUGAAAUAGGAAGCCUCACCAAAUAUAAUGUAUAAGGUAAUGUGUACUGCUUGAUUAGCUAUGUGCCUGUGGCAUUCCUGUAGAUGUAAUAGGUGUAGUUAUUACAUUGCAAAAUGGUCAAAUUAUCAAAAUAAUUAUUUGAACCUAUACACAGCAAAAUAAGUGGUGAAUAUGUUAAUCCACAUGUACACAUUAGUAGCUAGUGCAUGACACAAGACCAAGCUGAUCCUACUUCAGUAGCUAGUGUAUGAUACAAAGUCAACCAUGGUACUACAAAGCUAAACCUACAGAAGCUUUUUAGCGAUGCAUAACCUGAAUACUAAUAUCAACAUUAUGCUCACUUCAUUAGCUGUAGCUUGAUGUCUCAGGCUCAUCUUCAGCGAAGAUAAUGUCCAUAUGUCAGUGUAUACAUCAAUUUAAUUAUGAAUACAGUUUCAUUAUCCAUGGCCAUUCUAAAUUUAUGCUGCAACCUCUAAAUUUAUGCAGCAAGCCUUUUGAUUUUUACAUCAAGAGUUCAUUAUACCGGAAGGUCUGAACUCAUAUAUGACAAUUUCAAAUUCAUUACCCAGGGCCAAUCUGGAUUGUAUGCGUUGCAAAACAACACCCCAUGUCUUCAGACUACACAUUACACCCGAACCUUCAAUGAGUUCACAUCAAUUGACAAUCAAUUGCAAAAAAAUUUGGAAGCAAAAAUACAUCAUAUGUAGCAAUAGCAACAGGCAAAUGUAUAAAAUUCUCACAGGAUAGGAAAAAAAGGGGAAUGGCACCAGGGCAGGAGGAGUCGGGCUUCAGUACCAGCGUCGUUGCCGGCGGCAUACUGGAAGACCCUGAUCUGGGAAGCUACACGCAGCAGGACAACUGGAGUAGGAGCAUUGCGUGUACUGGGCUCUCUUAAAAACGAAGAAGAAAGCCAGACCGGGGCGGAGAGGCAGCUAGAGGAGGGCGGAGGCCAUCAGGGGCCGACAUGGGUAGGGAUGGGUCGAGGCACCAAGGGAGGAGGCCUUGUGGAAGUCUGUACACGGCUACAUCCAUAGUUCAUGUGUUCUUGUGGAAAGGACGACGUUGCGGGGGAGCCGCGCAGGUCAGGGAGUGGGAACCGGAGGCCGCGGCCGGCCAGCGAGCAUAAGCAGAACCCCAGGCGCUCCUCUGGUAGGGCUACGGGCGCGGCGCCUGCGCCGGCCACGACGGAGGUCUGCUGACAUGCACUGCCGUCUAUGGGGCCUCUCGCUCGCUUCCUUCUUACUCUUCACUUUCGACCGACCGAGAGAGGGAGAGAGAGAGAGAGAGAGCUAUUUGGAAGGGGAGUAGAGCCUGAUCGAGAGAUUCACGGCGCAAAAAAAAAAUUGAGAGGCAGUCGUCGGCAUCACAGGACCACCUCUGCUCUUCCCCGUCUCUUUCUCUCCUCCACGACUUCUCCUUUUCCUCGUCUCCGGCUCGGGCCACUGCUUGCUGUCUCCCAUACCGCCGUUCACCACCGAUGUCGGCGCCUGGUACACAGCAGGGAUGGGAUGUUUGCCGUUGCCAUCCAUGUGGGCAAGAGCAGCGGAGUAGGCAGAUGGGGGAGGUGUGGUGGCGCACGCGGGGGACUUAGGUAGUGGCGGCUCGCCCCAGCCGUCAACAUUGAGCAGGAGAAGAGGUCAGCCAACCCCACUUGAGGCAUCCGUGCGCAGGAUGCCAUCCACAACGCUGUGGCGAUGGACAUGGGGGCGGAAGUGGGGUGGCGGUGGUGUAGCUGGGAAGAAGCAGGUGCGGCGGUUGGGGAGGAACGGGGCAAUGGUGGAGCCAUUUUAUAAGCUCGUAUAGCAGUGGGGCGGCGUGGAUAUGCCUGGAGAGAGAACCGGACACGUGAAGAGAAUCGAGAGGAGGUUAGAAACCGACUAAAGUAUCUGCAUCAAGUGAAGCGGAGGACGUGCGUCCAAAGUCAUGGUUGGCAGCAAGAUGCACACACAGGUUGUACCCCUCCUGGUCCCCAGAAUUACACAUGUCCUCUCUUAAUUCAGCCAGAGGCCAAAAAAAAACCUCCCAAAAAAGGAGAAAAAAGGAUUCAUACGGGUGAUUGAGAAUUACCUUGUAUGGGAAUGAGUAUGGGACAUUUAAUUAAGCAGGUUGAUCUGUGCUUUCAUGCAUUCACUUAUGGGACGGUGUAUCUGUAAAGCUAGGGAGAAAAAUAGCCUUAUUAAGUCCUAGCUUGAUGUGAUGAGUGCACAAAACCAGGAGUUACUCAAGCCUCUGGGAAUGUCUUAUUACGUCCUGCGUUCUGGUGUGAGUGUGGUCACGUCUCUUUGGGAGAGCAUUUAAUUUUUUCAAGGUUAUAAAGUAGCAUGGCAUUGGCCAUUUGAGAAGCAGAGCAACAAACGCCAAGUUUGUCCAUAU